AUUGAACGCUGGCGGCAGGCUUAACACAUGCAAGUCGAGCGGGGAAAGGUAGCUUGCUACCUGACCUAGCGGCGGACGGGUGAGUAAUGCUUGGGAAUCUGCCUAUUAGUGGGGGACAACAUCUCGAAAGGGAUGCUAAUACCGCAUACGUCCUACGGGAGAAAGCAGGGGACCUUCGGGCCUUGCGCUAAUAGAUGAGCCUAAGUCGGAUUAGCUAGUUGGUGGGGUAAAGGCCUACCAAGGCGACGAUCUGUAGCGGGUCUGAGAGGAUGAUCCGCCACACUGGGACUGAGACACGGCCCAGACUCCUACGGGAGGCAGCAGUGGGGAAUAUUGGACAAUGGGGGGAACCCUGAUCCAGCCAUGCCGCGUGUGUGAAGAAGGCCUUUUGGUUGUAAAGCACUUUAAGCGAGGAGGAGGCUACCGAGAUUAAUACUCUUGGAUAGUGGACGUUACUCGCAGAAUAAGCACCGGCUAACUCUGUG
RNAcentral lists this ribosomal RNA (485 nucleotides) under uncultured bacterium. RNAcentral's name for it is "partial 16S ribosomal RNA". It matches the Rfam family "Bacterial small subunit ribosomal RNA", at positions 30 to 507 of the family's 1533-position model. The record is from RNAcentral.